AAUAUUGCGCAAUGGAGGGAACUCUGACGCAGCGACGCCGCGUGAGCGAUGAAGGUCUUCGGAUCGUAAAGCUCUGUCCUUGGAGAAGAAGGGAGCCGUAAGGCUUCUUGACGGUACCAAUGGAGGAAGCCCCGGCUAACUAUGUGCCAGCAGCCGCGGUAAUACGUAGGGGGCGAGCGUUAUCCGGAAUUAUUGGGCGUAAAGGGUGCGUAGGCGGCUUUUUAAGUCAGAUGUGAAAGGCUACGGCUUAACCGUAGUUAGCAUUUGAAACUAAAAGGCUUGAGUGCAGGAGAGGAGAGUGGAAUUCCUAGUGUAGCGGUGAAAUGCGUAGAUAUUAGGAGGAACACCAGUGGCGAAGGCGACUCUCUGGACUGCAACUGACGCUGAGGCACGAAAGCGUGGGGAGCGAAC
This 411-nucleotide ribosomal RNA is filed under the name uncultured bacterium. Its description in RNAcentral is "partial 16S ribosomal RNA". It matches the Rfam family "Bacterial small subunit ribosomal RNA", at positions 360 to 773 of the family's 1533-position model. The record is from RNAcentral.